This 249-nucleotide ribosomal RNA is filed under the name uncultured bacterium. RNAcentral describes it as "partial 16S ribosomal RNA". It matches the Rfam family "Bacterial small subunit ribosomal RNA", at positions 85 to 334 of the family's 1533-position model. The record is from RNAcentral.
CGUGUUUCUAGUGGCGGACGGGUGAGUAACGCGUGGGUAACCUGCCUUAUACAGGGGGAUAACAACCAGAAAUGGUUGCUAAUACCGCAUAAGCGCACAGGACCGCAUGGUCCGGUGUGAAAAACUCCGGUGGUAUAAGAUGGACCCGCGUUGGAUUAGCUAGUUGGUGGGGUAACGGCCUACCAAGGCGACGAUCCAUAGCCGGCCUGAGAGGGUGAACGGCCACAUUGGGACUGAGACACGGCCCAG